RNAcentral lists this ribosomal RNA (492 nucleotides) under uncultured bacterium. RNAcentral describes it as "partial 16S ribosomal RNA". It matches the Rfam family "Bacterial small subunit ribosomal RNA", at positions 29 to 507 of the family's 1533-position model. The record is from RNAcentral.
AGUGAACGCUGGCGGUAGGCCUAACACAUGCAAGUCGAACGGCAGCACAGUAAGAGCUUGCUCUUACGGGUGGCGAGUGGCGGACGGGUGAGGAAUACAUCGGAAUCUACUUUUUCGUGGGGGUUAACGUAGGGAAACUUACGCUAAUACCGCAUCCGACCUACGGUUGAAAGCAGGGGAUCUUCGGACCUUGCGCGAUUGAAUGAGCCGAUGUCGGAUUAGCUAGUUGGCGGGGUAAAGGCCCACCAAGGCGACGAUCCGUAGCUGGUCUGAGAGGAUGAUCAGCCACACUGGAACUGAGACACGGUCCAGACUCCUACGGGAGGCAGCAGUGGGGAAUAUUGGACAAUGGGCGCAAGCCUGAUCCAGCCAUACCGCGUGGGUGAAGAAGGCCUUCGGGUUGUAAAGCCCUUUUGUUGGGAAAGAAAAGCAGCAGGUUAAUACCCCGCUGUUCUGACGGUACCCAAAGAAUAAGCACCGGCUAACUUCGUG